This 494-nucleotide ribosomal RNA is filed under the name uncultured bacterium. Its description in RNAcentral is "partial 16S ribosomal RNA". It matches the Rfam family "Bacterial small subunit ribosomal RNA", at positions 28 to 507 of the family's 1533-position model. The record is from RNAcentral.
GACGAACGCUGGCGGCGUGCUUAACACAUGCAAGUCGAACGGAAAGGCCUGUCCUUCCUUGUGUUGGACGGGUACUCGAGUGGCGAACGGGUGAGUAACACGUGAGUGAUCUGCCCCCAACUUGGGGAUAAGCCUGGGAAACUUGGUCUAAUUCCCGAUAGGACUGCAGGGUGGUGCCUGUGGUGGAAAACGAUUUUCUAGUGGUUGGGGAUGAGCUCGCGGCCUAUCAGCUUGUUGGUGGGGUAAUGGCCUACCAAGGCGGCGACGGGUAGCCGGCCUGAGAGGGUGGACGGCCACAUUGGGACUGAGAUACGGCCCAGACUACUACGGGAGGCAGCAGUGGGGAAUAUUGCACAAUGGGCGGAAGCCUGAUGCAGCGACGCCGCGUGGGGGAUGACGGCCUUCGGGUUGUAAACUCCUUUCGACCGCGAGGAAGCCGCAUGGUUGGAAGGGUGGUGACGGUAGUGGUAGAAGAAGCACCGGCUAACUACGUG